GGGGCAUCUGGGGACCAAGCCCAGGGUCCUGUCCUCAUUACUUAGACACUUCAGACUCAGUUAUAAAGGAGAUUGAGUGGUCUCCUGGAAGGGUGAGGUCUGCCCGGAAUGUCUGAGCGGCCCCAGGCAGAGAGCAGCAUUGGCUGGGCUGCGUGGCCUAUGUGGAGUUCUCACAGAUCUUCGGCAUUUCAAAGGCAGCCCUGAGGUAUCUGGAACCUGGUUCCAGGAAUGCUGAGGGGCACAACGGGUCAGACAAGCCAGGAUCGUGCAAGAGGGUGGGGGCAGGACAGCAUCCGUGUCACGAGAGGGUGGGGCAAGGGUUGAGUCCCCACGCGGGACUGGUCCUGUCUGGCAGACAAGACAAGCCGUGGCAGCACUCUUCACAGCCCUAAGCAGUGACAGCACCAAAGGAGCGGCUCAGCGGGGUUCGAAUCCCCCCAUAACCUCCAGGAGUCCCCCCAAAGCCGCCCCAAGGAAGCAUAUGGUUUUUCCCAGGUAGCUUUCAAGACAAGUUAGCUUCCAACCCGCUUGCUGCUCCCAAAUUCCUGCUAAACGGAAACUUCGGGGCGUCCCCGCUCCAGGAAAGCCCUGGGAGAAAGAAGUUCCUGUUGGAUUAAAGCCUUACAUUUGGGAAGUUAGCCCCUCUCUUCGAGCCUCAGUUCUCCCUUUGCAAUGGGAAACUCAUCUCUGCCCCCUCAGGAUGAGUUGCAUAGCUCCUCAGCAUGCUGCAUGUGGAGAUUUCUGAGCUCUCAGAACACAGCAGUUCUCAACUAGGAGUGGAUGUCAGAAUCGCCUUGAUCCAUCUUCAAGUAAUGUCUGUGCAUGGUGUGAGGAUUGGCCUGGAGGUGGCGCCGCUGCUGUUGGUCUGGAACCACGGGACCAAGACUCAGGAGGGUCUGGCAAAUGGAUGAGGAUGUCAUCCAGCGGAAGAGGAUGCCCAGAAGGCCAGGCUGGACCCUUUUAUCAGCCGCUGGAAGAAAGCAGAGAUAUUGCCCAAACCUAAGAGCACUGAUAUGUCUUCCACAUGCUCAAGACUUAUCUUGAAAUCUGUUUUUGACUCCUGUUUCCUGAGAUCCAGAGUGAUCUGGGUUUUAAAUACAACACCCUGGUUUCUUCAUAAAACAUUUCAAAUCUAGCCUUACGACAAAUCCUUCCAUGGCAUAGCUUAAAAAUCCUUCUGAAAAAAAUGCGCUGAGGGUUUAUAGGGCAAAGAUACA
Molecule: long non-coding RNA, 1217 nt
Filed under: Equus caballus (horse)
Lineage: Eukaryota; Metazoa; Chordata; Mammalia; Perissodactyla; Equidae
Description: lncRNA (ENSECAG00000042033.2)
Source: RNAcentral